RNAcentral lists this long non-coding RNA (388 nucleotides) under Brassica napus (rape). Its description in RNAcentral is "long non-coding RNA (BNAP_LNC020658)". Lineage: Eukaryota; Viridiplantae; Streptophyta; Magnoliopsida; Brassicales; Brassicaceae. The record is from RNAcentral.
UCGGAUAUUAUAUAUUUUUGAACGAAAUUCGAAUCGGACCCUUCCGGGUCCAUGUAGGUUUGUAGGAAUCUAAAAAUAUACAAAUAAUUUAUGGAUUUAGAAAUGUCAUUUAAAAAUCUGUGUGGAUCAAGCUCUAGUUUUAUACUUAUCAGUAAAUGUAUUUUAUUGGUAAGAUUAGAAGACUGCAUUGCCGACAAGGAGGUUUCUUAUAACAAUAGCAGGCAUGUUGUCUUUAGUUUUUCCGACAAGGAGGUUUAAUAUAACAAGUGCAGUCAUGAUAGUGUUUCUUUCGAAAAAUGGUGUUCACACAGUCGCAACGCUCGAAUGUUACUAUUGACACCUUCCUUUCAUCCUGACACUUCUUGUUUCCAUCAGGGCCGCAUUUUCC